This 253-nucleotide ribosomal RNA is filed under the name uncultured bacterium. RNAcentral's name for it is "partial 16S ribosomal RNA". It matches the Rfam family "Bacterial small subunit ribosomal RNA", at positions 524 to 776 of the family's 1533-position model. The record is from RNAcentral.
UACGUAGGGGGCAAGCGUUGUCCGGAUUUAUUGGGCGUAAAGAGCGUGUAGGCGGUUAGGUAGGUCCGUUGUGAAAACUCGAGGCUCAACCUCGAGACGCCGAUGGAAACCAUCUGGCUAGAGUCCGGAAGAGGAGAGUGGAAUUCCCGGUGUAGCGGUGAAAUGCGCAGAUAUCGGGAAGAACACCCGUGGCUAAGGCGGCUCUCUAGUACGGUACUGACGCUGAGACGCGAAAGCGUGGGGAGCGAACAGG